AGAGCUCUUCCAAGCAUGUGGCUCUCUACUCUUUCCCUCUGUUACCUCUCUGAAUUUAGUUAGGCCUUCAGUAAGCAGGGACAGACUUUAAGGUGAGGGACUUCCGACCCUGGAGCCAGAGUCUGAAGGUGAUGUGUUGAGGAAUGAACCUGGCCUCCACCUUCUGCUGGAGUAGGGCAUUUUCUCCAGCAGAAGAUGCCUCUACAUCUACUUCAUUGUGUUCCUUUUGGUCUGUUUUCUUCCUCCUACCUAGUCUCUCUCGCCUGCUCUCCCCUUUCCCUGAUUCACUUCCAGGCCGCCCUCCCCCGCCCGGCUUCAUGCCUUCCCUCUUACUCUUGCUUGGUCCUCUGUGUGCAUCAGGUCGGUUUCUGUUCCCUCUCGCUCUUUUUCUUUCACUUUCCCCCGCCCACCAGUCCUUUUUAACUGUGUCAUCAUGACUUACAGUGUGGGAACAUGGAACUCGUCGUCUCCCACAUUACACAGCCAUCUCUGGAUUCCAUGUGACCAGCAUUCCUUCCCUGAGCUACUGGGGCGGAACGGAUGCUCCACCACUACCAGCUGCUAAGGCCCAGCUUCUGAGUCCUGCUUCCUGCCCACUGCAGGGAGGGGGCGAGGCUAGAGCAGAAGAUGGAGGCCACAGAAGUCACCCCCAGUGCCUGGACGUUGGACACAAAGGCCUCAGCAGCUGCUACCCACUCAGUCUCGAACUUGCCAGGCCUGAGACCCAUGAGCUGAGACAUAUCAUUUGUUAUCAAGUACCCGGUCUGGUAUUCUGUGACAGCAGCCUAAGGAAACAAAGACACCUGCCGUGAGUGUCCCCUCCCAUGACACCUGAGAGAGCAGCCACAAACCAGCAGGCUGCAGAUCUACAGAUCUCUUGCAGUUGUCCCAGUCCUGGUGCUGAGAAAACUACAAAGCCUUGAGAACAGAGGCUGCCUCUCCUGGACAGCAUGCCCCUAGUCUGCAGCACAGUUACCAAACAGACAUCCACUGGCUACAUACCUGAGGCUCUCCUGGGGUGCAGCAUGGCAAGAUCAGAACUGAUGGGAUGUUGGAGCCAUGGGCCCCAUAGAAUAUGGACUCUGUUGCCUCGGAACACAGAUGAAGGGACACAGCCAAGCAGUACAGUGACUUGCCAAAGCCACGCGGCUCCUCGGUGGACAGCUGACCAACCCUAACUAUAAGAAAGAGUUCUGAUGGGACUGGCCUGAUAGUACUGGGGACCUCCAACCUGGGAAGGCAGGGACCUGGAGCCUACCAACAAGAACUAAAACAGGGUUUCCUCCCCAACGCCUCCGGACAAAUACUCUGGCCAGUUUUAUGGAAGAGAGGAGAGGGCCAAGCCAUACUGUUUCAGAUUUUGGACUUCAUAGGAUGGAGAACUAACAAAAAGUGUUGUUUUAAGCCACCGGAUUGUUGGUAAUGUCGGUACAUGUUUAAUCAUGUGGAGUUAUCAAUUGUUUUCUUUUGGACAGUCUCACUGUAUGGCCCAGGCUAACUUGCAUAUUGGAAUUCUCUCACCUCAGCCUUCUGAGGGCUGAGCCUGCAGGCAUGUGUCACUACAUCCACCGGACUUUUAAAUGGUUUUCAUGGUCCCCGCGUCUUAGGUCAUAGGCCACAGCCUUGGUAGGCUGCAGAUUUCUAGCAAGUUGGAGGAAAGUUGGCCACCUGGUUCACUGUGGGCGUCACUCAGAAGCCCAUGGAGGUUGGACUGAGGCCGAGAUGAACUUGGCCUUCCUGGACCUGCUGCUUUCUCCUCAGAGGCUCCUCACCUGCAGUUAGAGCAUUGCAUCCAGGGCCUCACACAGAGGCACGGAGGAAGAA
This is a long non-coding RNA of Peromyscus californicus insignis, 1824 nucleotides long. RefSeq lists it as uncharacterized. The transcript is spliced from 4 exons. The record is from RefSeq and is a predicted model, not a curated record. NCBI's taxonomy places the organism in Eukaryota, Metazoa, Chordata, Mammalia, Rodentia, Cricetidae.